This 498-nucleotide ribosomal RNA is filed under the name uncultured bacterium. RNAcentral describes it as "bacterial SSU rRNA". It matches the Rfam family "Bacterial small subunit ribosomal RNA", at positions 25 to 518 of the family's 1533-position model. The record is from RNAcentral.
CAGGAUGAACGCUGGCGGCGUGCCUAAUACAUGCAAGUCGAACGAGGGUGCUUGCACCCUAGUGGCGAACGGGUGAGUAACACGUAGGUAACCUGCCCUUAAGCUUGGGAUACCCAGAGGAAACUUUGGCUAAUACCGGAUAACAACAGAGAAGGCAUCUUCUUUGCUUGAAAGGCCCUUUCGGGUCACUUAAGGAUGGACCUGCGGCGCAUUAGCUAGUUGGUGAGAUAACAGCCCACCAAGGCAAGGAUGCGUAGCCGAACUGAGAGGUUGAUCGGCCACAUUGGAACUGAGACACGGUCCAAACUCCUACGGGAGGCAGCAGUAAGGAGUUUUCGGCAAUGGGGGAAACCCUGACCGAGCAACGCCGCGUGAGUGAUGACGGCCCCUAUGGGUUGUAAAGCUCUUUUAUAAGGGAUGAAUGACAGUGCUAGGAAAUGAGCAUUGUUUGACGGUACCUUUUGAAUAAGCCACGGCUAACUACGUGCCAGCCGCUGC